CCGCCAUUAGCUCAUCGGGAUAGAGCGCCAGCCUUCGAAGGUGGUUGCGCGGGGUUCGAGUCCUCGAUGGCGGUCCA
RNAcentral lists this transfer RNA (77 nucleotides) under Escherichia coli. Its description in RNAcentral is "tRNA-Arg". It matches the Rfam family "tRNA". Rfam says of the family: Transfer RNA (tRNA) molecules are approximately 80 nucleotides in length. Their secondary structure includes four short double-helical elements and three loops (D, anti-codon, and T loops). Lineage: Bacteria; Pseudomonadati; Pseudomonadota; Gammaproteobacteria; Enterobacterales; Enterobacteriaceae. The record is from RNAcentral.